This 512-nucleotide ribosomal RNA is filed under the name uncultured bacterium. RNAcentral describes it as "partial 16S ribosomal RNA". It matches the Rfam family "Bacterial small subunit ribosomal RNA", at positions 28 to 523 of the family's 1533-position model. The record is from RNAcentral.
GACGAACGCUGGCGGCGUGCCUAAUACAUGCAAGUCGAGCGAAUUGAUGGGAGCUUGCUCCCUGAUAUUAGCGGCGGACGGGUGAGUAACACGUGGGUAACCUGCCUGUAAGAUUGGGAUAACUCCGGGAAACCGGAGCUAAUACCGGAUAACAUUUCGAACCGCAUGGUUUGAAAUUGAAAGAUGGUUUCGGCUAUCACUUACAGAUGGACCCGCGGCGCAUUAGCUAGUUGGUGAGGUAACGGCUCACCAAGGCAACGAUGCGUAGCCGACCUGGGAGGGUGAUCGGCCACACUGGGACUGAGACACGGCCCAGACUCCUACGGGGGGCAGCAGUAGGGAAUCUUCCGCAAUGGACGAAAGUCUGACGGAGCAGCGCCGCGUGAACGAUGAAGGCCUUCGGGUCGUAAAGUUCUGUUGUUAGGGAAGAACAAGUACCAGAGUAACUGCUGGUACCUUGACGGUACCUAACCAGAAAGCCACGGCUAACUACGUGCCAGCAGCCGCGGUAA